GACGAACGCUGGCGGCGUGCUUAACACAUGCAAGUCGAACGGUGAAGCCCUUCGGGGUGGAUCAGUGGCGAACGGGUGAGUAACACGUGAGCAACCUGCCCCUGGCUCUGGGACAACCACUGGAAACGGUGGCUAAUACCGGAUACGACCCGCCUCGGCAUCGAGUGUGGGUGGAAAGUUUUUCGGCUGGGGAUGGGCUCGCGGCCUAUCAGCUUGUUGGUGAGGUGAAGGCUCACCAAGGCGACGACGGGUAGCCGGCCUGAGAGGGCGACCGGCCACACUGGGACUGAGACACGGCCCAGACUCCUACGGGAGGCAGCAGUGGGGAAUAUUGCACAAUGGGCGAAAGCCUGAUGCAGCGACGCCGCGUGAGGGAUGACGGCCUUCGGGUUGUAAACCUCUUUCAGCUCCGAAGAAGCGAAAGUGACGGAAGGAGCAGAAGAAACACCGGCUAACUACGG
This 461-nucleotide ribosomal RNA is filed under the name uncultured bacterium. Its description in RNAcentral is "partial 16S ribosomal RNA". It matches the Rfam family "Bacterial small subunit ribosomal RNA", at positions 28 to 506 of the family's 1533-position model. The record is from RNAcentral.